This 253-nucleotide ribosomal RNA is filed under the name uncultured bacterium. RNAcentral describes it as "partial 16S ribosomal RNA". It matches the Rfam family "Bacterial small subunit ribosomal RNA", at positions 524 to 776 of the family's 1533-position model. The record is from RNAcentral.
GACGUAGGGCGCGAGCGUUGUCCGGAUUUAUUGGGCGUAAAGAGCUCGUAGGCGGCUCGUUGCGUCGGCUGUGAAAACCCGCAGCUCAACUGUGGGCUUGCAGCUGAUACGGGCGGGCUGGAGUUCGGUAGGGGAGACUGGAAUUCCUGGUGUAGCGGUGAAAUGCGCAGAUAUCAGGAGGAACACCGGUGGCGAAGGCGGUUACCUGGAGCUUUGCUGACGCUGAUGCGCGAAAGCGUGGGGAGCGAUCCGG